CCUACGGGAGGCAGCAGUGGGGAAUAUUGGACAAUGGGCGAAAGCCUGAUCCAGCAAUGCCGCGUGUGUGAAGAAGGCCUUCGGGUUGUAAAGCACUUUAAGUUGGGAAGAAAAAGCUCUGGCUAAUAUCUAGAGCCUUGACGGUACCAACAGAAUAAGCACCGGCUAACUCUGUGCCAGCAGCCGCGGUAAUACAGAGGGUGCUAGCGUUAAUCGGAUUUACUGGGCGUAAAGCGUGCGUAGGCGGUUUGAUAAGUCGAUUGUGAAAGCCCCGGGCUUAACCUGGGAAUUGCAGUUGAUACUGUCAGACUAGAAAACGGUAGAGGGAGGCGGAACUCCAGGUGUAGCGGUGAAAUGCGUAGAUAUCUGGAAGAACACCGAUGGCGAAGGCAACCUCCUGGGCCUGUUUUGACGCUGAAAGCACGAAAGCGUGGGUAGCAAACAGGAUUAGAUACCCUGGUAGUCCACGACCGUAACGANAGAGACUAGUACGUUAGUUGUCUAGUCAAUACGUGUCGUAGUACUACGACGAGUAGUUACGUCCGCCGUCGGGGAGGUACGGGCCGGCCGAAGGUUAGGUAAACGUUACGUUAAAGUAAGUUAAGUUAGUACGGCGUUGGAGGACGUUGCCGACGGACGACCGAACCGAGGGGAGGUUAGG
This 661-nucleotide ribosomal RNA is filed under the name uncultured bacterium. Its description in RNAcentral is "bacterial SSU rRNA". The stretch from base 1 to 547 matches the Rfam family "Bacterial small subunit ribosomal RNA", at positions 338 to 873 of the family's 1533-position model. The record is from RNAcentral.